AUUGAACGCUGGCGGCAGGCCUAACACAUGCAAGUCGAACGGUAACAGGAAACAGCUUGCUGUUUCGCUGACGAGUGGCGGACGGGUGAGUAAUGUCUGGGAAACUGCCUGAUGGAGGGGGAUAACUACUGGAAACGGUAGCUAAUACCGCAUAACGUCGCAAGACCAAAGAGGGGGACCUUCGGGCCUCUUGCCAUCGGAUGUGCCCAGGUGGGAUUAGCUAGUAGGUGGGGUAACGGCUCACCUAGGCGACGAUCCCUAGCUGGUCUGAGAGGAUGACCGGCCCCACUGGAACUGAGACACGGUCCAGACUCCUACGGGAGGCAGCAGUGGUGAAUAUUGCACAAUGGGCGCAAGCCUGAUGCAGCCAUGCCGCGUGUAUGAAGAAGGCCUUCGGGUUGUAAAGUACUUUCAGCGGGGAGAAAGGGAGUAAAGUUAAGAUCUUUACUCAUUGACGUUACCCGCAGAAGAAGCACCGGCUAACUCCGUG
This 490-nucleotide ribosomal RNA is filed under the name uncultured bacterium. RNAcentral's name for it is "partial 16S ribosomal RNA". It matches the Rfam family "Bacterial small subunit ribosomal RNA", at positions 30 to 507 of the family's 1533-position model. The record is from RNAcentral.